GAGAGGAUGAGUCUGGUGGCUCAAUCGGUCUGCAAAACUGAUACCGGGCGGAUAAAACCGUCUGAGGCAGGUUCGAUUCCUGCCCUCUCAGCCA
Molecule: transfer RNA, 94 nt
Filed under: Candidatus Cloacimonadota bacterium
Lineage: Bacteria; Pseudomonadati; Candidatus Cloacimonadota
Description: tRNA-OTHER
Rfam family: Selenocysteine transfer RNA
Source: RNAcentral